This 642-nucleotide ribosomal RNA is filed under the name Triticum aestivum (bread wheat). RNAcentral describes it as "partial small subunit ribosomal RNA". Lineage: Eukaryota; Viridiplantae; Streptophyta; Magnoliopsida; Poales; Poaceae. The record is from RNAcentral.
AUGGCGACGGCCAAGCCCAUCCUGUACGGCGCCUGGAUCAGCUCUUGCUCUCACCGUGUCCGGAUCGCUCUCAAUCUCAAAGGUGUGGACUAUGAGUACAAGGCAGUCAAUCCUCGGACAGAUCCAGACUAUGAAAAAAUAAACCCGAUCAAAUACAUACCAGCAUUGGUAGAUGGGGACUUUGUUCUAUCUGAUUCUCUCGCUAUCAUGUUGUAUCUGGAAGAUAAGUAUCCUCAGCAUCCUCUCGUACCUAAAGAUAUCAAAACGAAAGGUCUUGAUCUUCAGAUUGCGAACAUAGUUUGCUCAAGCAUCCAACCUCUCCAAGGCUACGGCGUAAUUGGUUUGCAUGAGGGUAGGUUGAGCCCCGAUGAGAGCCUUGAGGUGGUUCAACGUUAUAUUGACAAGGGCUUCAAAGCAAUAGAAAAGCUCUUGGAUGGAUGUGACAGCAAAUAUUGCGUCGGAGAUGAAGUCCAUUUGGGAGAUGUGUGUCUAGCCCCACAGAUCCAUGCCGCCAUCAAUCGCUUCCAGAUUGAUAUGACGAAGUACCCAACCUUGUCGCGACUUCACGAUGCCUACAUGGAAAUUCCGGCAUUUCAAGCCGCACUGCCCCAGAAUCAGCCAGAUGCACCUUCAGCAAAAUAA